This 468-nucleotide ribosomal RNA is filed under the name uncultured bacterium. RNAcentral's name for it is "partial 16S ribosomal RNA". It matches the Rfam family "Bacterial small subunit ribosomal RNA", at positions 28 to 507 of the family's 1533-position model. The record is from RNAcentral.
GACGAACGCUGGCGGCGUGCUUAACACAUGCAAGUCGAACGGAAAGGCCCUGCUUUUGUGGGGUGCUCGAGUGGCGAACGGGUGAGUAACACGUGAGUAACCUGCCCUUGACUUUGGGAUAACUUCAGGAAACUGGGGCUAAUACCGGAUAGGAGCUCCUGCUGCAUGGUGGGGGUUGGAAAGUUUCGGCGGUUGGGGAUGGACUCGCGGCUUAUCAGCUUGUUGGUGGGGUAGUGGCUUACCAAGGCUUUGACGGGUAGCCGGCCUGAGAGGGUGACCGGCCACAUGGGGACUGAGAUACGGCCCAGACUGCUACGGGAGGCAGCAGUGGGGAAUAUUGCACAGUGGGCGGAAGCCUGAUGCAGCGACGCCGCGUGCGGGAUGACGGCCUUCGGGUUGUAAACCGCUUUCGCCUGUGACGAAGCGUGAGUGACGGUAAUGGGUAAAGAAGCACCGGCUAACUACGUG